This 267-nucleotide ribosomal RNA is filed under the name uncultured bacterium. Its description in RNAcentral is "partial 16S ribosomal RNA". It matches the Rfam family "Bacterial small subunit ribosomal RNA", at positions 793 to 1055 of the family's 1533-position model. The record is from RNAcentral.
GUCCACGCUGUAAACGAUGAGAGCUAGUUGUCGGCACGCAUGCGUGUCGGUGACGCAGCUAACGCAUUAAGCUCUCCGCCUGGGGAGUACGGCCGCAAGGUUAAAACUCAAAGAAAUUGACGGGGGCCCCGCACAAGCGGUGGAGCAUGUGGUUUAAUUCGAAGCAACGCGAAGAACCUUACCCACGUUUGACAUGUCUAGUUUGGUCGCGAGAGAUCGCUUCCUUCAGUUCGGCUGGCUAGAACACAGGUGCUGCAUGGCUGUCGU